GGAACAGUAGCUCAGAUGGUAGAGCAACAGGAUUACUUUUCGCUUACGGCAAAUAAAGUUCCUAUGAAUUAAGGUUGUUGGUCGCAGGUUCGAGCCCUGCCUGUUCCUCAA
This 111-nucleotide transfer RNA is filed under the name Chryseobacterium sp. 8AT. RNAcentral describes it as "Pseudo tRNA". It matches the Rfam family "tRNA". From Rfam's summary of the family: Transfer RNA (tRNA) molecules are approximately 80 nucleotides in length. Their secondary structure includes four short double-helical elements and three loops (D, anti-codon, and T loops). Further hydrogen bonds mediate the characteristic L-shaped molecular structure. tRNAs have two regions of fundamental functional importance: the anti-codon, which is responsible for specific mRNA codon recognition, and the 3' end, to which the tRNAs corresponding amino acid is attached (by aminoacyl-tRNA synthetases). tRNAs cope with the degeneracy of the genetic code in two manners: having more than one tRNA (with a specific anti-codon) for a particular amino acid; and 'wobble' base-pairing, i.e. permitting non-standard base-pairing at the 3rd anti-codon position. The record is from RNAcentral. Lineage: Bacteria; Pseudomonadati; Bacteroidota; Flavobacteriia; Flavobacteriales; Weeksellaceae.